RNAcentral lists this ribosomal RNA (253 nucleotides) under uncultured bacterium. Its description in RNAcentral is "partial 16S ribosomal RNA". It matches the Rfam family "Bacterial small subunit ribosomal RNA", at positions 524 to 776 of the family's 1533-position model. The record is from RNAcentral.
UACAGAGGUCCCAAGCGUUGUUCGGACUCACUGGGCGUAAAGGGUGCGUAGGUGGUCAGGUAAGUCUGAUGUGAAAUCUCUGGGCUCAACCCAGAAACUGCAUUGGAUACUAUCUGGCUAGAGGAGUGGAGGGGGGACUGGAAUACUUGGUGUAGCAGUGAAAUGCGUAGAUAUCAAGUGGAACACCAGUGGCGAAGGCGAGUCCCUGGACACUUCCUGACACUGAGGCACGAAAGCUAGGGGAGCAAACAGG